UAGGGAAUCUUCCGCAAUGGGCGAAAGCUUGACGGAGCAACGCCGCGUGAGUGAUGAAGGUCUUCGGAUCGUAAAACUCUGUUAUUAGGGAAGAACAAAUGUGUAAGUAACUAUGCACGUCUUGACGGUACCUAAUCAGAAAGCCACGGCUAACUACGUGCCAGCAGCCGCGGUAAUACGCAGGUGGCAAGCGUUAUCCGGAAUUAUUGGGCGUAAAGCGCGCGUAGGCGGUUUUUUAAGUCUGAUGUGAAAGCCCACGGCUCAACCGUGGAGGGUCAUUGGAAACUGGAAAACUUGAGUGCAGAAGAGGAAAGUGGAAUUCCAUGUGUAGCGGUGAAAUGCGCAGAGAUAUGGAGGAACACCAGUGGCGAAGGCGACUUUCUGGUCUGUAACUGACGCUGAUGUGCGAAAGCGUGGGGAUCAAACAGG
Molecule: ribosomal RNA, 429 nt
Filed under: Actinomycetes bacterium
Lineage: Bacteria; Bacillati; Actinomycetota; Actinomycetes
Description: Actinobacteria bacterium partial 16S ribosomal RNA
Rfam family: Bacterial small subunit ribosomal RNA
Source: RNAcentral